Non-coding RNA from Hippoglossus stenolepis (Pacific halibut), 568 nucleotides. The record is from the annotation of a RefSeq genome assembly. NCBI's taxonomy places the organism in Eukaryota, Metazoa, Chordata, Actinopteri, Pleuronectiformes, Pleuronectidae.
GGGGGAGCCCUGCUCUCCUCCCAGUGGCUGCAGAGGAAGCUGAUUGGUUCAAACGAUUUGAUUCCAGCUGAGAACAUCAGACUGAACCGUCAGUUUCACUGUCAACAUGGAGAAACUGGCUUCACUUCUGUUCUUCUCAGCUCUUGUAGGUCACAGCUUGGAAGAUGAUGUCACCGCCAACAGUGCUGAGGUGUUUUCAGCAUCGGGCAGUACUGUUACUCUGUCCUGUAAAUAUUCUGUUAAAGCUGACAAUCUCCAGUGGUAUCGACAGGAUCCUGGAUCAGCUCCUCACUAUCUUCUCCUGAUCACUGAUACACAAGAGCCUCAAGUGCUGAGAGCGACUCCUCGAAACCCUCGACUGACAGCUGAACUGAACCAGGAGAGAAAUGGAGUCCAACUGCAGAUCUCCUCUGCUGCAGUGACAGACUCUGCUGUGUACUACUGUGCUCUGCAGCCCACAGCGACAGGAAACUACACAACUCUGUACAAAAACUCCAGCUGCCAGAAGCCUCCUCUCCUCACUGCUCACCUCAGCUUCUUACCUCCACUAGAGGGCGAUAUAUUCUGA